This 1294-nucleotide ribosomal RNA is filed under the name uncultured bacterium. RNAcentral describes it as "partial 16S ribosomal RNA". It matches the Rfam family "Bacterial small subunit ribosomal RNA", at positions 88 to 1399 of the family's 1533-position model. The record is from RNAcentral.
UGACUUAGUGGCGGACGGGUGAGUAACGCGUGAGGAACCUGCCUUUCAGUGGGGGACAACAGUUGGAAACGACUGCUAAUACCGCAUAAUGUGUUUUGGGGGCAUCCCCGGAACACCAAAGAUUUAUUGCUGAAAGAUGGCCUCGCGUCUGAUUAGAUAGUUGGUGGGGUAACGGCCUACCAAGUCGACGAUCAGUAGCCGGACUGAGAGGUUGAACGGCCACAUUGGGACUGAGAUACGGCCCAGACUCCUACGGGAGGCAGCAGUGGGGAAUAUUGGGCAAUGGGGGAAACCCUGACCCAGCAACGCCGCGUGAAGGAAGAAGGCUUUCGGGUUGUAAACUUCUUUUACCAGGGACGAAGGACGUGACGGUACCUGGAGAAAAAGCCACGGCUAACUACGUGCCAGCAGCCGCGGUAAUACGUAGGUGGCAAGCGUUGUCCGGAUUUACUGGGUGUAAAGGGCGUGUAGGCGGGAGAGCAAGUCAGAAGUGAAAUCUAUGGGCUUAACCCAUAAACUGCUUUUGAAACUGUUCUUCUUGAGUAUCGGAGAGGCAGGCGGAAUUCCUAGUGUAGCGGUGAAAUGCGUAGAUAUUAGGAGGAACACCAGUGGCGAAGGCGGCCUGCUGGACGACAACUGACGCUGAGGAGCGAAAGCGUGGGGAGCAAACAGGAUUAGAUACCCUGGUAGUCCACGCAGUAAACGAUGACUACUAGCUUUCCGGGAUGAUUGAGUCCUGGGAGGCACAGCGAAAGCGUUAAGUAGUCCACCUGGGGAGUACGCCGGCAACGGUGAAACUCAAAGGAAUUGACGGGGGCCCGCACAAGCGGAGGAACAUGUGGUUUAAUUCGAUGAUACGCGAGGAACCUUACCCGGGCUCGAACGGCGCCUGAACCACCCAGAGACGGGUGGGUCUUCGGACAGGUGCCGAGGUGCUGCAUGGUUGUCGUCAGCUCGUGCCGUGAGGUGUCGGCUCAAGUGCCAUAACGAGCGCAACCCCUGCCGCCAGUUGCCAUCAGGUGAAGCUGGGCACUCUGGCGGGACUGCCACCGCAAGGUGUGAGGAGGGGGGGGAUGACGUCAAACCAGCACGGCCCUUACGUCCGGGGCGACACACGUGUUUCAAUGGCGGCCACAGAGGGAAGCUACCCGGCGACGGGAUGCGGAUCUCGAAAAGCCGUCCCAGUUCGGACUGGAGUCUGCAACCCGACUCCACGAAGUUGGAUUCGCUAGUAAUCGCGCAUCAGCCAUGGCGCGGUGAAUACGUUCCCGGGCCUUGCACUCACCGCCCGUCA